RNAcentral lists this ribosomal RNA (471 nucleotides) under uncultured Nitrosomonadaceae bacterium. Its description in RNAcentral is "bacterial SSU rRNA". It matches the Rfam family "Bacterial small subunit ribosomal RNA", at positions 195 to 647 of the family's 1533-position model. Lineage: Bacteria; Pseudomonadati; Pseudomonadota; Betaproteobacteria; Nitrosomonadales; Nitrosomonadaceae. The record is from RNAcentral.
AUUGGAGGAAAGCAGGGGAUCGCAAGACCUCGCGCGAUUGGAGCGGCCGAUGUCCGAUUAGCUAGUUGGUGAGGUAACGGCUCACCAAGGCGACGAUCGGUAGCUGGUCUGAGAGGACGACCAGCCACACUGGGACUGAGACACGGCCCAGACUCCUACGGGAGGCAGCAGUGGGGAAUUUUGGACAAUGGGGGCAACCCUGAUCCAGCCAUGCCGCGUGUGUGAUGAAGGCCUUCGGGUUGUAAAGCACUUUCGGACGGAACGAAAUCGCGUGGGCGAAUAUCCCGCGUGGAUGACGGUAUCGUAAGAAGAAGCACCGGCUAACUACGUGCCAGCAGCCGCGGUAAUACGUAGGGUGCGAGCGUUAAUCGGAAUUACUGGGCGUAAAGGGUGCGCAGGCGGCUUCGCAAGUCAGGCGUGAAAUCCCCGAGCUUAACUUGGGAAUUGCGUUUGAAACUACAAGGCUAGAAU